RNAcentral lists this ribosomal RNA (764 nucleotides) under uncultured bacterium. RNAcentral describes it as "bacterial SSU rRNA". It matches the Rfam family "Bacterial small subunit ribosomal RNA", at positions 8 to 796 of the family's 1533-position model. The record is from RNAcentral.
AGAGUUUGAUCAUGGCUCAGAAUCAACGCUGGCGGCGCGCCUAACACAUGCAAGUCGAACGAGAACGGCUUCAGCAAUGGGGCCUAGUACAGUGGCGAACGGGUGAGUAACACGUGGGUAAUCUACCUUCAAGUGGGGGAUAACCCGGGGAAACCUGGGCUAAUACCGCAUAAUAUCCGCAAGGAUCAAAGGAGCAAUUCGCUCGAAGAUGAGCCCGCGGCCGAUUAGCUAGUUGGCGGGGUAACGGCCCACCAAGGCUCUGAUCGGUAGCCGGUCUGAGAGGACGCACGGCCACACUGGAACUGAAACACGGUCCAGACUCCUACGGGAGGCAGCAGUGGGGAAUCUUGCACAAUGGGGGAAACCCUGAUGCAGCGACGCCGCGUGGGUGAUGAAGCUCUUCGGAGUGUAAAGCCCUUUCGGCAGGGAAGAGAUAAGACGGUACCUGCAAAAGAAGCCCCGGCUAACUACGUGCCAGCAGCCGCGGUAAUACGUAGGGGGCCAGCGUUGUUCGGAAUUACUGGGCGUAAAGAGUGCGUAGGCGGUGCGAUGUGUUCGGUGUGAAAUCUCCCGGCUCAACCGGGAGGGGCCAUCGAAAACUGUCGCGCUUCGGGUACGGGAGAGGGGAGUGGAAUUCCCGGUGUAGCGGUGAAAUGCGUAGAGAUCGGGAGGAACACCAGCGACGAAGGUGGCUCCCUGGACCGUUACCGACGCUGAGGCACGAAAGCUAGGGGAGCAAACAGGAUUAGAUACCCUAGUAGUCC